CUGGUCAGUAAACUCAACUGGAGGGGAGGAGAUUACACCAGCAUGUGAGUACCAAGAAGGGGACCAUCCGGAGCCAUCUUGGAGGCUGCCUACCACACCUUACUUAAAAACAGACAAGAGUCAGAAUCUCUUCACUUCAUCUGCUUUUCAUGAGAGUGAAACAGUGUUACCUGUAGCAAUACAGGGCCUCAGUCUGAUGUCGAAGAUUUUCCUGAGAUCUCCUACAGACAGAAGGAAUAUGGAAGACAUUUUCCCCAGAAUAGCAACUACAAUAAUUCUAUAAGAUGAUCUUAUCCUGCUAAGAGUAUUAACAAGAAAAAUCACUAAUAGGAAAAUUAAGAGACAUUCAUUACAAAAGUGAUUACUCAAACUCAAAUACAGUUAUCUCAUUUCUCAAAGAAAAGUCUAAAAACCCAGAGAAUUAAAAUCAGAGUUUUUGAGGCAGUUUCCAUAACUCCAUCAUUUCCAGCAGGGAGAAAAAUCAGAGGUGAACCACACCUGGUUCUCUGGGGACAUUUGCUCUGGGGGAAGCCAGCUACCAUGUAAGAAGCACAAUUUCCCUGGGACUGAUUGUAAAGGCCAGAGGUAGGCCUUCUGAAGGGAAGCCUUACUGAGCUCUCAGCCACCGGCCAGCCACAAUGAGCAGUCACAUGAGUGAAUGACUUGGAAGUCCAGCUCUGUUCAGCAUGCUGAUGUCUGACAUCUGCCUGCAACUGCAUGAAAGAUUCCAAUUACCCCCAGUCAAUCACAGAUAUCAUCUGCUCCUGACAUCCAACCAUCCACACCGUCAAGGCUCGAUGAUGCUCCUUCUGACAUAUCGUCAGAAGGCCAAUAGUAGCCUCAUGCUAUCAUAACACCUCCAUCAUUCACGUUACUUCGUCUCAUCAUGUAGGCAUUGUAUCAUCUCACAACAUCGCAAGAAGAAGGAAGUUGCAAGUCACUCAAGGGAAAGCAGAAUUCAAGAAGUGGAUGUCACAAAGCCGACACUGAAAGUGUAAUACUUGGUACCAACCAGGUUUUUGAAGCCAUCAAUGAAGAAAACCCAGACACAGCAUUUGAACUGACACAGACACACACACCCCCCAAAACAAACUUCUAGGAGCAAAACAAAAUAAGUCCACUCUAGUUUGAAAUUUCUUAAUAAAGGGGUUAUUCGCAUAAAUUUUCACAUGCUUACC
This 1178-nucleotide long non-coding RNA is filed under the name Equus asinus (donkey). Its description in RNAcentral is "lncRNA (ENSEASG00005030513.1)". Lineage: Eukaryota; Metazoa; Chordata; Mammalia; Perissodactyla; Equidae. The record is from RNAcentral.